UACAGAGGGGGCCAGCGUUAUUCGGAAUUAUUGGGCGUAAAGGGCGCGUAGGCGGCCAUGCGUGUCUUCCGUGAAAUCCCUCGGCUUAACUGAGGACGUGCGGAAGAAACUGUUCGGCUCGAGUCCGGGAGAGGGUAGUGGAAUUCCCAGUGUAGCGGUGAAAUGCGUAGAUAUUGGGAGGAACACCGGUGGCGAAGGCGGCUACCUGGACCGGUACUGACGCUGAGGCGCGAAAGCUAGGGUAGCAAACAGG
RNAcentral lists this ribosomal RNA (253 nucleotides) under uncultured bacterium. RNAcentral's name for it is "partial 16S ribosomal RNA". It matches the Rfam family "Bacterial small subunit ribosomal RNA", at positions 524 to 776 of the family's 1533-position model. The record is from RNAcentral.